CAAGCAGCGGAGCGUGUGGUUUAAUUCGUUGCUACACGAAGAACUUACCUGGUUUGACAUAUAGGUUGUAGGGAACUGAAAGGGACCGACCCUUCGGGGAGCCUAUACAGGUGUUGCAUGGCUGUCGUCAGCUCGUGUCGUGAGAUGUUCGGUUAAGUCCGCUAACGAGCGCAACCCUCGUCGUAUGUUAUAUGUGUCAUACGAGACUGCCGGUAAAAAGCCGGAGGAAGGUGAGGAUGAUGUCAAGUCAGCAUGACCUUUAUAUCCAGGGCUACACACACGCUACAAUGGUCUGUACAAUGGGUAGCCAAGCCGCGAGGCGGAGCCAAUCCUGAAAGCAGGCCUCAGUUCAGAUUGCAGUCUGCAACUCGACUGCAUGAAGCCGGAGUUGCUAGUAACCGCAGGUCAGCAAUACUGCGGUGAAUACGUUCCCGGGUCUU
This 440-nucleotide ribosomal RNA is filed under the name uncultured Anaerolineaceae bacterium. Its description in RNAcentral is "bacterial SSU rRNA". It matches the Rfam family "Bacterial small subunit ribosomal RNA", at positions 926 to 1382 of the family's 1533-position model. The record is from RNAcentral. Lineage: Bacteria; Bacillati; Chloroflexota; Anaerolineae; Anaerolineales; Anaerolineaceae.